GUGUCCAAUAGAUGACAUAGGCGUCGUCGUUUUCAUGCGAUGGCGGAUUGUUGUGUCAGUGGUUGUCAAAAGUUUUCCUAUUUUUCCAUGAAAAUUACCGAUGAAUUCAUCAGAAGGAACGGGAAAGGAAAAAUUAGCAUACAAGUAGCCUACCAUCACUACCACCAACUCUUUUAUUAAAAAUCUUCGUUCUGCUGAAUGCAUCAUGCAGUUAAUACAGGGAAAGCUAUGAAAAAUAUCAUAUAAUCAAGGCCAUGGGUAAUCUUCACGUUUAUUGCAGCAGCUUAAGAGAAGAAUGUGAACAAAUGCAGGGCACUGGUCACAUACCAACAUGUGUUGUAUUUUUCUGAAUGUUAACACGAGCAGCAGAUUCAACAUGACUAACUGUUUGAUGCCAAAGUUAGUUGGAACUCAACUCACUGUGCGUACUCUAAAAACACAGAUAACUGGUGCUGUUGCCUUUCAGCCACAGGCAGGAAAAUGAUUCUUUUCUUCAGAAAAUUGAAAGCUGCUGGAGUAAUCUGGUGGUCAUGCUCAUUUGAUUCAUUUCGUGCCAGCUAGUAAAAGCCGAAAGGCAUGUCGAAUUCAAUUGAGCUGCUGCAUGCUGUCUCGAAGGAAGCAAUCCAACCGUUGCGUUCAGUCAUUUGGAACAGGAAUCUAAUGGCUGUCAAUAGGUGGCUGUGAAUAAGUGGCUCAAAUGAUGUCCACCAGG
This is a long non-coding RNA of Daphnia pulicaria, 712 nucleotides long. RefSeq lists it as uncharacterized. The transcript is spliced from 5 exons. NCBI's taxonomy places the organism in Eukaryota, Metazoa, Arthropoda, Branchiopoda, Diplostraca, Daphniidae. The record is from RefSeq and is a predicted model, not a curated record.